Molecule: long non-coding RNA, 5177 nt
Filed under: Sus scrofa (pig)
Lineage: Eukaryota; Metazoa; Chordata; Mammalia; Artiodactyla; Suidae
Description: lncRNA (ENSSSCG00055010231.1)
Source: RNAcentral
AAAAGCAGUCAGUGGGGAGAUAUUACAAGGCCAAGCAGAUAUCAUGUUCUUCAUCAAAAAUUUCCCCUAAGUUCAGCAACUCUUGAAGCUGUUUCUUUUUUUGCCCGAUCCACUAUUAAGAUGGUUACAAAAGCUGACUUUCCAACUCAGACCUCUUCCAUUCAGCAUCCAGUGCAAGCAAGAUCCUUCCCUAACUUGAUUUAUCAGAUUAUUGGAAUGGAGGCAUGAAUGCCUUUUGUUUAAUGCUGUGUUAUGAAUUAUACUGUUAAUUUUAUUUAAAUUGUCCCAGAUCUAUCUAUAAAAAAUCCCCUUAACAGCUGGCUUCUGUGUCCUUAUGGACAUCUUUUUGUUGUUGUUGUUUUCUUUCAGAAUCUUCUACUUGCUAGCAUGACAAGGUGUUCCAGCCCUUGGGGUGCUUUGUUACACAGCAAGAGAUAACUGAUACAACCGUCAUGGCAUCAUCUUGGCAAUAGCUCUGUCUAGAUCUCCUAGAAUGUGUGAGAGGGUGAAUGUGGUAGAAGGAAAAGACAUUUCUAAGAAAAAUGCUAUUGGAUUAGACAGGGAGGGGCCUGGCCAGAGGUUUCUAGGGUAUUUGCCCCACAGGUCUCAGGAAUAUGGAACAGUGGGUCUAAAAUCUGGGUCCCAGUUUUGGCGUUGUACUAAGCAGCAAUGUAACAGUGACAAAGUCCCCAACCUGCUAUGGUCUCACACGUAAAACAGGGAGAUGACCUGAAUCCUCAAACACCUGUGGCAUAUGUAAGUUGCCAGGUUAGGGGUCAAAUCGGAGCCAUAGUUGCCAGCCUAUGCCACAGCCACAGCAAUUCCAGACCUGAGCCACAUCUGCAACCUACACCACAGCUCACGGCAACGCUGGAUCCUUAAUCCACUGAGCAAAGCCAGGGAUCAAACCCGUGUCCUCAUGGAUACCAGUAGUGUUCGUUAACUGCUGAGCCACAGCAGGAACUCCGAAUCCUGGCUUUUGAAGGGAAUGGAGGGGAGUAAGAUAAGGAGAUAGGCAGGGAGAGUUCCCCAGGCAAUAAACAUUUCUGUUAAAAAAAAAAAAAAAGUGUUGUAGCUGCAUUUUGUAUCCUCCCAGAUAAACGUAAAGUCCAAGGGGAGCCUCCUACUCAUUCUUUCCAGGUAUUUGGGGGGAAAUAGGUCGCAGCAAAACAUUCCACAAUUUUACCUCUUUGUAAGCAUUUCUCUUCAGUGAUAUGCGGGCCUUUAAAAAAUAAUUUUGCCCAGAGGUAACAGGCUUAAGUUAAGGAUGGAUAACGUUCACCUCACUUGAAGGAGCUCAUGUAGUAUUUGACAGAACAUUCAGUUCCAGAGAAAUCAUCACAAAGAGAUUUAUUCUAUUUUGGAAAAUGUGACACAUCACCAAUUUGUAUUGUCUGUCGAGAGGUACAGAAAAUCCAGGUUCGGUGGCAUUUUCUACCGGGCAGCGGUCAGGGUUCCGGAGGAGGGGGCUGGGCAGCCCGGAGGGCAUGGGAUACUGGGGUGAGUAGCAGCAGGAGUGGACACUACCCAGCAGAGCUCUCGUCCCAGUCCUCUCGCUCCUUCUUGCACAUUCUCGCCCUUCCCACCUCUUCCCCAGUCCUACUUCCUACAGAAAGGAAGCUCCGUUUCUGAGAGCCAGUGGAGCAUGACCUCGGGAAGCAUCUCCUCUCAGAAAUGCCACCUGACAGAGGUCCUCUCAGGACCAAAUGUCACGUGGGAGCUGAGUGCCACCUGGGUGCCAUUCAUCUGGUGAGAAAGCAAUUCCUUUUAUUGGAGGGGAUUAUCUGUUGUUUACGAGGGUUCAGCAUGAUAAUGGGGACCUUAAAACCCCUUAUUGAUGACACUCUUCUUUACCAGACUGGGAAACAGUCCUUGAGGAUGCUGUUUUCCUGGAAGUGCUACAAAUGAAGGACAAAAUUCUCCAGAACAUGCUUCCUUGCUUUGCCACCAAAUCAUCACUACACAAUCAAACAUAAAAAGUGAUAAAUGUAUUUAGGUGGGGAGAAUAAAUGUUGCUAACACUGCACUCUGGGUCCACAAGGACACCUGGAAAAGUUCCUGGUGUCACAUGAACGGGCUUCAUCACCUUAGAGGAAAAGGGCGUUCUGGGAGAUGUGUCUUCUAGCUCAGUGUUGGAAAACAUCCUGCAAAGAGCCAGGCAUUAAAUAUUUGGGGUUUUCAGGGCCAUAAAGUCUCUGUGACAGCUCCUCAACUCUGCCAAUGUAGUUUGAAAGCCGCCAUAGACGGGAUAUAAAAGAAUGAAGGUGGCCGUUCCACUCUGAAGUUCCAAUAAAACUUUAUUUACAAGGACAGGUGGAACAAAAGAAAAGAGAAGAAGAGGAAAAGAUGGAUAGCCCUUUUUUCUGAUACCUAUUCUGGCUUAUUUCUCAUUAAAUAAUUACAAAUUAUUUCAUCUUUGAAUCUGUCUUCUCCUAAAUCAAGUAAAGAUAUUACUUCUCUAUCUCACAGGUUUUCAGAGACCCUGGAAACAUUUUCAAAGGCGUGAAGCACCGUACACAUGCAAUGGGCUUCCAUCAUGCGUGAAAUCAACAAUCCUUGGAGUUCCCAUCAUGGCGCAGCGGAAGCGAAUCCAACUAGGAACCAUGAGGUUGCAGGUUCGAUCCCUGGCCUUGAUCAGUUAAGGAUCCGGCAUUGCUGUGAACUGGGGUGUAGGUCGCAGACAUGGCUCGGGUCUGGCGUUGCUGUGGCUCUGGCGUAGGCCGGCAGCAACAGCUCCGAUUCGAUCCCUAGCCUGGGAACCUCCAUGUGCUGCGGGUGCAGCCCUAAAAAGACAAAAAGACAAAAAAAAAAAAUUCUAACUUGGAUCUAGUGCAGAUUCUUCCAAGACGUUCGCGUGCAAAAGCAGCCUCUAGGGGUCAAAGAAACACAUCUAGAGAUGGAUGGAUCCUGGCCCAGUCACAUCAAGGGCUGUUUUAGAUGGAUGGCUAUCACAAGCCUGGCCUGCAUGGUAUUGAAAUUACACACCUUCACUCUUGGGGCUGCUUCAGACGCAUUCUACAGUCAUAACAGAAAUAUAUUUCUCAUGCUCAGCGCUAGGGUUUGAAUUAGGUAAACAAAUCCCCAGAUCCCUUCUACAGGCUUUCUUGUCAAUGACUCACAUCCUACAAUUUCCCCUUUUUUUCAGUCUGUCUCUGUGCAUUUCUCUCACUAUAUAUGCAACACAUAGUUUUUCUCCUUCCCUACCACGGAGUGGCGAAAGCCCAUACGGAAGCCAGUGAUCCAGCUCAUGACAGACGACCCUAAUGGGCAAUGAGUUGGAAGCGGAUAACACGAUCAUACGUGGACCCCAUGUCAGCUUCAUCAUCCAAGUCCAGCCAGUUGAAGGAAAGGCAAUAAGAAGAAUCCCUUCUGCGUCCUCUGUCAUAAAAUCGCAGUUCGCACCCAGCAAUGCAUGUGGCAUGAGAUCUGCACAAUUCCUUCACAAACACACAUGCAUGCUUGUAUUCCUCUUCCAUCCCCUCCAGCGCCUAGCCUUGGCCAGUCUCUACCUGGGUCACAGAACCACCCUAGGAAAAACUUAUCCUCAGAAACUUUGAGAUGAGUAGUUGCUAAAUAGAGGUUCGAUAAUAAGCUGUCACCUGCUGCUCUGUUUUGCACUGCAAAUGUAAGAAUAUAGAAACAUUUUAAGCAGCUUAGGGGCAGCAAUAAUAGAAAACUAGUGAUUUGGGUAAUUUACAUAUUUAUAGAGGCUGUGGGGAUUUUAGUCAGGAAACAAUGAAGAAAACAGAGUUGUCAAUGAUCAAAUGCCGCCUGCCAUGAAGAGCUAAAACCAGUAAUUUAGAGCUAAGCUCAGUUACACCUUUGAAAUUACUGCAGAAAAGAAAAAUAAAACACCAAAAAUGUGCAUUUUGGUUCAGGUUAUCAGCUUUAGAGCUCUAUAAAAUGAAUGCAUCUGAGCAUGUGACAUUUCACACAGGUAAAAAAAUACCAUUACAGAGAAUAACAGCGCAAAUGAAAAACGAACUGUGCAAAUGGAUGAUAAGGUUUCCUACACGGCUCUCUUGGGAAUAUCUGCAUUUUCAUACGAACAAAGGCCUCAGUCAAAGGGAAAACUCUCUAAUAGUACAAUCCAAGAUAUUGGAGGCAAAGACUCCUUCCGACUAUAUCCCAUCUCCUCUGAGUCCUGGCCGAUGUCCUCACUAAGCUUCAGAUCAGUCAGUGGCCAUUUGGCAUUCGUAGGGUCUAUUCUCUCCAUAUUUCCUACCCCUUAAAAAUGAAUUAAACUCCUAAAUCACCUACCAAGCACAGUGCUCAGGUGAACAGAGAGCAUCUCAGGGUAGAGAAGAUGGGGGGCACUUUUCUUUCAUACCCCAUAACCUAUAUAGGUAUGCUCACCAGUGGGAGACACAGCAUGUGCAAAGGCCCAGCUGCAGAAGGAGUCAAGGACAUAGCGUAUAUGCUAUGGUGGACAUUUCCAGCCAGUUCCCUUUAUUUGGACCCUCUUUUUACACCUGCUCAAUUUUUCUUCUGGCCACACACACAAAGGCAUGUUAAGUCUGCUUUCACAGCCCAGGGGCCCCGUAUUCUCAGCAGGCCUGUGUAAGACUGUCUCCCUUAAUAAAAGUUCUGGAUCACUCAAAGAUGGAAAAAUCCUUGGAAAGAUCCAAGCAGAAUUUUUCAAACCUCUCUGCAUUGUAGAGCAUCCUCUCCCAUUUUCCGUCUAUUUCCUACAAUUCUAGCAACCUCUAAAGAUAUUUUUUUCAAGGGAAAACUAAAAGAGAUUCAGCUAGGGGAUUAGCCACAGGCCCGGAGGUCUUAAGCAGAUCGAUUCAAGAUGCGCCAGAAUUUCAAUUGCUUGAGAGUAGACUAAGACAUUCGUUGGACCAGGAUCUUAAAUGGGAAAAUGGCCCAAUUGCAAGAGUGGAGACUGACCUAGACAAAUUGAAAGUGACUUCAGGACCCUGAAAUGUCAGGCCUGCACUGAAUCUGCAGGGUGAUUUAAACAAGGGUCUGGGGGUAGGCGGGGCAGGAGGCCCUAUUCAUUUAUCCUCUGCCUCUCUGAAGUCAGUGUCCAGUUUUGAGGUAAAAGGAAGACUAAUCAGACACAGGCAAACCUCCAGCAUCAAAAGGUUCUGUAAAAGCAGAGGGAAGCCACUCCUGGGAUGGCUACUACCAGCAGAUAACUUUGAAGAAACUGUGAGUAACGACAAAGCCCC